GGAGGGGUAGCGAAGAGGCUAAACGCGGCGGACUGUAAAUCCGCUCCUACCGGGUUCGCAGGUUCGAAUCCUGCCCCCUCCA
This 82-nucleotide transfer RNA is filed under the name Terrihalobacillus insolitus. It matches the Rfam family "tRNA". Rfam says of the family: Transfer RNA (tRNA) molecules are approximately 80 nucleotides in length. Their secondary structure includes four short double-helical elements and three loops (D, anti-codon, and T loops). Lineage: Bacteria; Bacillati; Bacillota; Bacilli; Caryophanales; Bacillaceae. The record is from Rfam by way of RNAcentral.